GUGGGGAAUAUUGGACAAUGGGCGAAAGCCUGAUCCAGCCAUGCCGCGUGUGUGAAGAAGGUCUUCGGAUUGUAAAGCACUUUAAGUUGGGAGGAAGGGCAGUAAGUUAAUACCUUGCUGUUUUGACGUUACCAACAGAAUAAGCACCGGCUAACUUCGUGCCAGCAGCCGCGGUAAUACGAAGGGUGCAAGCGUUAAUCGGAAUUACUGGGCGUAAAGCGCGCGUAGGUGGUUUUGUAAGUUGGAGGUGAAAUCCCCGGGCUCAACCUGGGAACUGCCUCCAAAACUGCAUGACUAGAGUACGGUAGAGGGUAGUGGAAUUUCCUGUGUAGCGGUGAAAGGCGUAGAUAUAGGAAGGAACACCAGUGGCGAAGGCGACUACCUGGACUGAUACUGACACUGAGGUGCGAAAGCGUGGGGAGCAAACAGGAUUAGAAACCCGAGUAGUCC
RNAcentral lists this ribosomal RNA (450 nucleotides) under uncultured bacterium. RNAcentral's name for it is "bacterial SSU rRNA". It matches the Rfam family "Bacterial small subunit ribosomal RNA", at positions 354 to 796 of the family's 1533-position model. The record is from RNAcentral.